This 22-nucleotide microRNA is filed under the name Cordylochernes scorpioides. The record is from RNAcentral. Lineage: Eukaryota; Metazoa; Arthropoda; Arachnida; Pseudoscorpiones; Chernetidae.
AUAGGAUGUUCUUUGAGUACAG